This 1368-nucleotide long non-coding RNA is filed under the name Medicago truncatula (barrel medic). Its description in RNAcentral is "long non-coding RNA (MTRU_LNC006585)". Lineage: Eukaryota; Viridiplantae; Streptophyta; Magnoliopsida; Fabales; Fabaceae. The record is from RNAcentral.
CUCGAGUUCAGGAAAAGUUUCAAGUGAUUCACAUUCACUAAGGUCUAACUUGAUGAGUUUGCUAAGAUUUCCAAUGGAAGAUGGAAUAGUCUCAAGCUUUGUGCAAUUUCGCAAGCUCAAUUCUUCAAGCCCGGCCAAAUGGUGGAAGGAUGAAGGUAUUUUUUUUAUUGUUGUUUUAUCUAAGAUGAGCACUUCUAGAUUUUCCAUAGUCACCUCGAGUUCAGGAAAAGUUUCAAGUGAUUCACAGUUAGUAAGGUCUAACUUGAUGAGUUUGCUUAGGUUUCCAAUGGAAGAUGGAAUGGUCUUAAGCUUUGUGCAAUUUCGCAAACUCAAUUCUUCAAGCCCAACCAAAUGGUGAAAGGAUGAAGUUAGUUCUUUUAUUGUUGUUUCGUCUAAGAUGAGGACUUCUAGAUUUUCCAUAGUCACCUCGAGUUCAGGAAAAGUUUCAAGUGAUUCACAGUCACUAAGGUCUAACUUGACGAGGUUGCUAAGAUUUCCAAUGGAAGAUGGAAUAAUCUUAAGCUUUGUGCAACUUCGCAAGUUCAAUUCUUCAAGCCCGGCCAAAUGGUGGAAGGAUGAAGGAAGUUCUUUUAUUGCUGUUUUGUCUAAGAUGAGCACUUCAAGAUUUUCCAUAGUCACCUUGAGUUCAGGAAAAGUUUCAAGUGAUUCACAGUCAGUAAGGUCUAACUUGAUGAGUUUGCUGAGAUUUCCAAUUGAAGACGGAAUAUUCUUAAGCUUUGUGCAACUUCGCAAGCUCAAUUCUUCAAGGCCGACCAAAUGGUGCAAGGAUGAAGGUAGUUCUUUUAUGGUUGUUUCUUCUAAGAUGAGCACUUCUAGAUUUUCCAUAAUUACCUCAAGUUCAGGAAAAGUUUCAAGUGAUUCACAGCAAGUAAGGUCUAACUUGAUGAGUUUGCUGAGAUUUCCAAUGGAAGAUGGAAUAGUCUUAAGCUUUGUGCAACUUCGUAAGCUUAAUUCUUCGAGUCCGACCAAAUGGUGCAAGGAUGAAGGCAAUUCUUUUAUUGCUGUUUUGUCUAGGAUUAGCACUUCUAGAUUUUCCAUAGUCAUCGCGAGUUCAGGAAAAGUUUCAAGUGAUUCACAAUUAGUAAGGUCUAACUUGAUGAGUUUGCUGAGGUUUCCAAUGGAAGAUGGAAUGGUCUUAAGCUUUGUGCAACUUCGCAAGCUCAGUUCUUAAGCCCGGUCAAAUGGUGCAAGGAUGAAGGUAGGAGUUCUUUUAUUGCUGUUUCGUCUAAGAUAAGCACUGAUAGAUUUUCCCUUGUCUAUUUGAUUUCAGGUAACUCCUCCAAUUUUAAACAACCACGGAAACUAAGUCUUCUUAGAAGCUUUAAAUUUAAAAGUUCUGCUGGCAUG